RNAcentral lists this small RNA (4312 nucleotides) under Pan troglodytes (chimpanzee). RNAcentral's name for it is "retained intron". Lineage: Eukaryota; Metazoa; Chordata; Mammalia; Primates; Hominidae. The record is from RNAcentral.
UUUUCCAAAAGCAGCAUCUUUUUAUGUUUUAACACAGCUGUUGCGCUUGCUCAGGUGCGUGUCACGUGUUACAGGAGUGAGUGUGAGACGGGAUCUUUUCCCCGAGAACUUAGUAACCCUUGGACAGAGGACGGGACUCACCACUUGUGGAACAUUAACACAGCAGCAGCUCCCAGAGCCCAUCCAGGCAUCACCAAGCUUCUCAGGGCUUGAAUUGAGGGGGGUGGAGAGUGAGCGAGGUGAGAUGUAGCCUGCGUGGCUUCCCUGUGCUGCUGAGGGACCCUGCAGGGACCAAGGCCUGUGUGGCUGGAGCAGAGGGCGCUGUGCAUGUAAGCCGUAGGCAUGGGCAGGUGGCGGUCUCUGAAGCUGCUCUCAGGUGACCGCUGUAGGCAGGGAGAGCAUUUGGAGAUUUCAGAAGGGACUAGCAUCAGGCGCAAGUGCUGUCUGGGAAGACUGGCUCUCAGCAGGUGCCAGCGUCCCGGGGCAGGCAGCGUCACUGCACCGUGACAAGAGCUCAGCUAGGGGUACUGGUGACAGCUGCCCUGUUGGAGGCUCACCCUGAGCUAGACUUUGCCCUUCGUUCUCUUGUGUCUUUCACCUGGCCCAGCGCUCAUGGACUGCCCCAGGCAGGGAUAAGGGUCUUACUAUUAAUUCCAUUUUACAGGUUAAGAAACUGAGGCACGUAGGCUGAGUUCCCACCCAAAUCCCACAACCAAUCAACUGCAACUCAAGCUAGGAUUUGGGGACCCAGGUGCUCAGGCUCAGCUGUGUGGGUGCUGGACCCCCACUUUGGGUCUUCCCUGGGAGGGGCUAGCCCUCCACAGCAGAGUGAGUAGAAGUGGAUGAAAAACUACAAAAGGGUGCUUGGUUUCAUUCAUGUUCACAAAAAUGCAAAUUCACUGAGAAGGGUGGUAACACCUAGUGGUAGCCAGGGUACCGGGGUCUUGUUGGACAGGAAUCAGUGGCCUCUUUUUGGAGAGGAUUUUGGUAAUUAAGCUAUGAAAAUGUGCAUGCUUAUUUAACUAAACACCCUCUUAUGUCCUGGAGAAAUAACUGAACAUUUACAAAGUGAUGAAUAUACAAGCUUGUUUGCUUCAUGAGUGUUAGAGGAAAUUAAAUGUCCAUUACUAAGAAUUUCAUUAAGUAAAUGAUGUAUCAUCCAAACAAUGGAAUAUUAAGCAAUUUUGAAAGUGGUUUUUUGUAAAGAGAAGAGAAACAGAUUUCAAAAUAUUUAUAAUUCAUGUCAUUUUUGCACACUUUCACGGUGAGCCACACAGAUAUGAACAGUGACUGAAGGCUAAAUACCAGUUUUAAUAUUCAGAUGUGAGUAGUUUGAGGAGUGUGGGUAAUUUUUACUUUGUAUUUUCUUAUGUAAUCUUAGUCUCUAUACAUACAAAAAUGGAAGUACUUCCAUUUACCAUUUUUUAAAUGGUAACUUAAGAGAAAAUGCGGGACGGGAGGCUGAGGCAGUCAUUUUGAAGUGAGGGACAGGCUGAUGUCGAGUGCUCGCUGAAGGAACAGGAAGUGAAAAGGCUUCUGUGGGAAACGGGACAGGAUGCGGUUACUGGUUCAGGAGAUGGAGGGAAGUGAAGGUGAUGUCCCGUGAGAUCACUGACAUCUGAACGCAGCAGCAUGUGUGAUGAGCCUGCAGGUCUUGCGGGAGCUUCAGAAGCGCGGGCUGACCUGUGACUUGACAUUUCCCUGCGGCGUGCAGAUCUCUCAGUUUUCCUUUCCUGUCGGGCUACUUUAAACUUUGUUGAUCUUUGUAAAUUUUCUCAUGGCAUGACCUCUUGUGGAGAAGUAUUUGGAAAGACAUACCAUGUCCUGAAUUUCUCUGGACUCUCCCAUUAUUUCUACUGUUUAGACCCGGGUUCCCACUUCUCAGCUGCAGGCGCAAGGGCAGAUGCAGACCCAGGCACCCCAGCCAGCCCAGGUGGCCUUGGCGAAGCCUCCGGUGGUGUCCGUCCCGGCAGCUGUGGUCUCCUCACCGGGAGUCACCACCCUGCCCAUGAACGUCGCGGGGAUCAGCGUGGCGAUCGGUCAGCCACAGAAGGCAGCAGGUGCCCGCCCCAGCACACCCUCCCGUCCUGGGCUUGAGCCUGGUUUCACAGGCCUCUCUGGUGGCAGUGGUCGCCAGCGACCCGUGUUCUUUCCUCACACCCACCCACUUGAGCGUGCCAUCACGUGUUCUAGCACAAACGUGCCUUGGCGCUUUCCAGGCGCAAGGCUGGGUCCUCAAUUGAACUGUUAACAUUCUGAAAUUUCCGUCUUAAUUUAAGUGUAAUUUGUGAACCCAGAAACAUUUUAAUGUAGUUAAGGGAUGGCUUACUUGUCUCCAUAGAGUUUCAUAGUUUGUUAUUUUCUGUAGAGGUGAGUCAGUUGGAACAGAGCUUGGCGUGAGCCUCAAGCUCUUUUCCCAGUGUGCUGACUAAGGGGCUUUUGCUGCCUGCAGGACAGACCGUGGUGGCCCAGCCCGUGCACAUGCAGCAGCUGCUGAAGCUGAAGCAGCAGGCAGUCCAGCAGCAGAAGGCCAUCCAGCCCCAGGCUGCACAGGGCCCGGCAGCCGUCCAGCAGAAGAUCACCGCACAGCAGAUCACCACCCCUGGCGCGCAGCAGAAGGUUGCCUACGCCGCGCAGCCGGCCCUUAAGACCCAGUUUCUUACCACACCCAUCUCCCAGGCCCAGAAACUGGCCGGGGCCCAGCAAGUGCAGACCCAGAUCCAGGUUGCAAAACUUCCUCAAGUUGUUCAACAGCAAACACCCGUGGCCAGCAUCCAGCAAGUUGCCUCUGCUUCCCAGCAGGCUUCUCCACAGACUGUGGCGCUCACGCAGGCGACGGCGGCCGGGCAGCAGGUGCAGAUGAUCCCUGCAGUGACCGCGACUGCCCAGGUGGUUCAGCAGAAACUCAUUCAGCAGCAGGUGGUGACCACGGCGUCGGCCCCGCUCCAGACUCCAGGCGCUCCCAACCCAGCCCAGGUGCCCGCCAGCUCCGACAGCCCAAGCCAGCAGCCCAAGUUACAGAUGAGGGUCCCUGCUGUCAGGCUAAAGACACCUACUAAGCCUCCGUGCCAGUAGUCAGGGCAGCAGGGCUGCCUCUCAUCUAAAGCAAAACUACCUUCCUCACAGAAAACGCUUUAUUAGUGAACCUUGGGACCAUGUCACGCAAGAGAUUCAGCACUGGGAAAGAUAUAAUUGAAACAAAAUAGUGUAAUCAUUUUAUUAAAAUGCAUCCCACACUGCAGGACAAAUGGUCCUUAUGGAGUGCCGCAUUCUCUGUACUACGUGGCUCAUGGAAAAAGUGACAACAUGGCUUCCUCUAAAUCAUUUCACCUUUCAGUCCCCACCCGCACCCGUCCCCUAGAGCCAUAGUACUGUGUUCUGAAAGCCAUUUAGAAUUUCUUUGUGAGUAUGUAGUGCUUUGCACGCCACAGAAGCCGUCUGCCGUGUGUGAGGAGCAUACAAUGGACUUUCUAAAGAUAAGGCGUGGGCUUCCACGGUGUCUGCCAGAGUUUAGUUCUUUAUACCUUACUGAAAAAUGCCUCAUGGUCUUCGUAGAGGAGAAGACCUGUCUAAAGUAAAUCAUCCGAGAUUGGUUUUCCAUUCCAAAGAAAGGCAAUAUGGUUCCUUCCUUCCCUCCUAAAAUGUGACUUAACUUUUAAGAGAAAUGUUCUGACACCCACCUAAACACACAAGGCACGUUCCUGGCCUGUGUUCAAGGGAAAUGAUCAGUCAUUGCAUUGUUAUUCCAAAGAGCAGCCGACAGUGGCCUCCCCCAGGCCCUACCCCGCAAUGGGAUUCGCUUUCAUUUAAUGGAAACUUCUGGGACUGAUGCCCAACUCAGUGCACUCAAGACGCAUCUCCAGCUUUCGGGGGAAGCUGGUAUUUCACAUAGUGUGUUAAACAGCUCCUGAGAACCUUUGGGACACUCUGCCAUGGCUGGCAUGAGGCCCAGAGGACCACGCAGAGGCAAUGGUCGUACAGAUGUCACAGCUGAGGGUACCAUGAGGCCUGGGCUCAGUGAGCCAGGACGAAUGUGACAGACACCCCUUGCUGCCACAGUCAGCCCUUUGACGAAGGUGGGCUGGUGAUUCUGGAAGUAUUGGCUAUAGCAGUGGGCCCAGUCAACUCUUCCUUGUGGACUUACGACAGCAGAUUUUCUCUAGGAUAAGCUCGUGUGGUUCUGCCAGUGAAGCAGAGAACCACCUGUGCUGUUGUGGAAGGCGUGCCGUUGAGGGGGAAAACGAAGCCCAGUAUUUGCUACUGUUUUUCUUUUUUUUACUAUGACAAGAAAAUAAAUGCAAUUUUAGUGGAA